UCUAGCAUCGAGCACCCGCCU
This 21-nucleotide microRNA is filed under the name Sus scrofa (pig). RNAcentral describes it as "ssc-miR-9841-3p". Lineage: Eukaryota; Metazoa; Chordata; Mammalia; Artiodactyla; Suidae. The record is from miRBase by way of RNAcentral.